GUAUGAACGGCAAAACCUCUUCUAACUGUCUCCCCUCCCAUCCUUUUAAAUUUCCUCCUGUGUGAAGAAGCACAGAUAUAUCAGAAAGACGAGAAGACCCUGUCGAGCUUUAACCACUAAGUGGGCCUUACCCUUUUCAGGCACCACCUAAAGGUUUUGGUUGGGGCAACCAUGGAGAAAAAAGAUCCUCCAGAACAAAUAGAAGAAAGCUUUUCACUAUUUUACGACUGAGAACCAGGAACUGGUAUUCGGAAAAAGCUACCGCAGGGAUAACAGCGUCAUCUCCUCUAAGAGUCCUUAUUGACGAGGAGGUUUGCGACCUCGAUGUUGGAUUGGGGCCCCCUUAGGGUGCAGAAGCUCUAAACGGUUAGACUGUUCGUCUAUUAAAGCCCUACAUGAUCUGA
Molecule: ribosomal RNA, 404 nt
Filed under: Holothuria arguinensis
Lineage: Eukaryota; Metazoa; Echinodermata; Holothuroidea; Aspidochirotida; Holothuriidae
Description: partial 16S ribosomal RNA
Rfam family: Bacterial large subunit ribosomal RNA
Source: RNAcentral